Molecule: unclassified non-coding RNA, 574 nt
Filed under: Schizosaccharomyces pombe (fission yeast)
Lineage: Eukaryota; Fungi; Ascomycota; Schizosaccharomycetes; Schizosaccharomycetales; Schizosaccharomycetaceae
Description: intergenic RNA (predicted)
Source: RNAcentral
GAAUGAACAUGAAUAACUAGCAUGGAUAAAUAGAUUCGCAAUCAGUGACAUAACGAUAUUUAUGAGCCGUCUAGUUUCACAGAUAAUUCCACCUGGUGGUGCGGAUAAAAGUAGGAUAGAAAAUAACAGAACCAAAACGUUGAAAAACGCAUUGCUUGGCUUAAAGGUCAUAACAUUAUUCUAUUCAAUGGAAAAAAAUGUUUGGUAGUUGAACGAGAUUGCUUCUCAACGCAAUGUUUUAUUUUCACUACGAAAUGUUCUCAUGCUUCUAAUCUAUGACUUCUACUUUACAUGCUGUUGAUUCAGGUGGUGUUUUUGUACCAAAGUGGGGGGUCUAAGUCGUUAGUACUAUUGUCCUUCUUCUGGUUAGUACUGACAGUUUGUAUUACAUUUUAAGUGGGAUCGUAGUAACUAAAUGGGGGUACAUAAAACUGGUACUACUAAACAGAUUUAUCUAAGUUGUGAACAAAUUUCAAUAAACAAACGAAUGUAUAAUCUCAUCGGCAAGAAAAUAAUUUUUUACGUCAAUCACUUAUUUCACUUCUUUAUUUUAUUUUGAAUAUAUCAAAUGUAA